RNAcentral lists this long non-coding RNA (1135 nucleotides) under Equus caballus (horse). RNAcentral's name for it is "lncRNA (ENSECAG00000059004.1)". Lineage: Eukaryota; Metazoa; Chordata; Mammalia; Perissodactyla; Equidae. The record is from RNAcentral.
UCCAAUGCUACCUUAUUUAUUUUGUUGUUCAAAUUGCUCCAGAUUUAGCCAUUGGAAGCUCUUUCAGGUUGGCGUCUAUGUCUUUUGAUGAACUCUCAUCAUUUUGCUUUUUGAGUACUUGCUUGCUUUCUAUUACUGUAAGAUGCCCUAGGCUCGUUUUGUAUUUCCCUUACCCCAGCCCAAGAAUAACCUUAUAUUUCCAAAUAUUACAUUUGAUUUGCAGUUUGUCCCAGAUUUACCUGGUGGGAACCUCUUCAAACUAGUUGGGCAAGAUUCACCCUAAGCUAACAUCUGCUGCCAAUCUUCCUCCUUUUUUCUUCCCUUUACUACCUCCAAAGCCCCAGUACAACUUACAUAGUUGUAAGUUCUUCUGGUUCUUCUAUGUGAGCCACCGCCAUAGCAUGGCUACUGACAGACAAUCGGUGUGGUUCCACACCAGGGAACUGAACCUUGGCUGCUGAAGUAGACAUGCAGAGCUUUAACCACUAGGCCAUCAGGGCUGGCUCUAGAAUUUUAUUCUUAGGCCUGAAAGAUGAGCUAGGAUGCAACGGAUUCUAAAAAGUACCUUUUUGAGCUUUGGUGGUCCUGAAAACUAAGAGUUAUCUUAUUGUAAAUAUGAACUUGACCUUAGACUUUUAUUAUAAUUUAUUAUUGAAGCAAAGACUUUGAAAAAUACAUACAGUUAUUUAUAUCAUCUUUAAUCUAUGUUUCCAUAUCUGUGCUUUUACUGAAAAGGAGAAAAGCUUCAAAUAGCAUGUUUCCCUCCCAUCAACACUUAGACCAAUGUUUUUCAAACAUUUAAAUAACCCUUAUCACUGCAAAGUACUCUGUUUUAUUUGUUACUACUUUGCUUUAGUUUUUAAAAUGUUGAUAAUGAUCCACUGAAUUGAUUCCAUGAUCCAACAAUGAUAGGACUAGCAGUUUAAAAAAGCACAAAGUAGGGGCUGGCCCCUUGGCUGAGUGGUUAAGUUCGUGCUCUGCUUCAGUGGCCCAGGGUUUCAGUGGUUUGGAUCCUGGUCGUGGACAUGGCACUGCUCAUCAGGCCAGGCUGAGGCGGCAUCCCACAUGCCACAACUAGAAGGGCCCACAACUAAAAUAUGCAACUAUGUACUGGGGGUCUUUGGGGAAAAGAAGG